Vicia villosa (hairy vetch) is the source of this 628-nucleotide long non-coding RNA. RefSeq lists it as uncharacterized. Lineage: Eukaryota; Viridiplantae; Streptophyta; Magnoliopsida; Fabales; Fabaceae. The record is from RefSeq and is a predicted model, not a curated record. The transcript has 2 exons.
UGCUAACCUUACUUCAGCCCACGUUUUCGGUUGGUUGAACCGUUCAAUCUGGUUUAAUUUUAAAACAUUAUUAAAAACUAUUUAAUUGAUGUAAGAAAAACAUAAUACUUAUAAAUAUUAUAAAUCAUAGAGUGAUAAAAUCAUACCCUAUUAGAUACAUAUAGAGGGUGUAAAGUAUGGCAAAAUUUAUUAACUUUGUUUAUCUUAUGUUAAUCUUUCAAACUUUCUUUCUUUUUACACCGAUCGUCAAUGGGGUUUUUAAAUGUGCUACAAUUGACGAUUGUUCAAUACAUAUGUGCGGACGUGGUUUAAAACCGAUGUGUUAUUUUGAUGUUUGUAUAUGUGUUGGACUAAAUACUCGCAUAUGAGUAAAAAAAAUAUUAUUCCAAUAUAUUUUAUGAAUUGUCAUAUAGUUAUUAUGUCGACAAUCAAUAAUUUCUUUUUCUUUUAGUUUUUUUAAUUUCACAUAUCUUGCUUUGAUUUUGUACCUUAAGGUGAUAUUAAUAAAGUAAAUUAAAGAAUACAAAUAGUUCCCUUCUCUCUUAACUUCAAGGUAUGUUGUUAAUCACCAUAUGCUCUAUGAUAUCAAUGUACUCCCUUUAUUUUACAAUAGAUGUCAUUUUUUCUA